RNAcentral lists this ribosomal RNA (468 nucleotides) under uncultured bacterium. RNAcentral describes it as "partial 16S ribosomal RNA". It matches the Rfam family "Bacterial small subunit ribosomal RNA", at positions 28 to 507 of the family's 1533-position model. The record is from RNAcentral.
GACGAACGCUGGCGGCGUGCUUAACACAUGCAAGUCGAACGGAAAGGCCCUGCUUUUGUGGGGUGCUCGAGUGGCGAACGGGUGAGUAACACGUGAGUAACCUGCCCUUGACUUUGGGAUAACUUCAGGAAACUGGGGCUAAUACCGGAUAGGAGCUCCUGCUGCAUGGUGGGGGUUGGAAAGUUUCGGCGGUUGGGGAUGGACUCGCGGCUUAUCAGCUUGUUGGUGGGGUAGUGGCUUACCAAGGCUUUGACGGGUAGCCGGCCUGAGAGGGUGACCGGCCACCUUGGGACUGAGAUACGGCCCAGACUCCUACGGGAGGCAGCAGUGGGGACUAUUGCACAAUGGGCGGAAGCCUGAUGCAGCAACGCCGCGUGCGGGAUGACGGCCUUCGGGUUGUAAACCGCUUUCGCCUGUGACGAAGCGUGAGUGACGGUAAUGGGUAAAGAAGCACCGGCUAACUACGUG